This 421-nucleotide ribosomal RNA is filed under the name uncultured bacterium. Its description in RNAcentral is "bacterial SSU rRNA". It matches the Rfam family "Bacterial small subunit ribosomal RNA", at positions 355 to 774 of the family's 1533-position model. The record is from RNAcentral.
UAAGGAAUAUUGGUCAAUGGACGCAAGUCUGAACCAGCCAUGCCGCGUGAAGGAUGAAGGUCCUCUGGAUUGUAAACUUCUUUUAUCUGGGACGAAAACGGGAUUUUUAUCUCAAUUGACGGUACCAGAGGAAUAAGCACCGGCUAACUCCGUGCCAGCAGCCGCGGUAAUACGGAGGGUGCGAGCGUUAUCCGGAUUUACUGGGUUUAAAGGGUGCGUAGGUGGGCUUAUAAGUCAGUGGUGAAAUCUCCGAGCUUAACUUGGAAACUGCCGUUGAUACUAUAGGUCUUGAAUUAUCUGGAGGUAAGCGGAAUAUGUCAUGUAGCGGUGAAAUGCUUAGAUAUGACAUGGAACACCAAUUGCGAAGGCAGCUUACUAUGCGGUGAUUGACACUGAGGCACGAAAGCGUGGGUAGCAAACA